UCGGAUAUGGUGUAACGGCUAACAUUGCCGCCUCUCAUUUAAAUUCGCGGCAGCUCGGGGUUCGAUUCCCCGUAUCCGAA
This is a non-coding RNA of Armillaria luteobubalina, 80 nucleotides long. The record is from the annotation of a GenBank genome assembly. Lineage: Eukaryota; Fungi; Basidiomycota; Agaricomycetes; Agaricales; Physalacriaceae.